This 253-nucleotide ribosomal RNA is filed under the name uncultured bacterium. RNAcentral's name for it is "partial 16S ribosomal RNA". It matches the Rfam family "Bacterial small subunit ribosomal RNA", at positions 524 to 776 of the family's 1533-position model. The record is from RNAcentral.
UACGUAGGUGACAAGCGUUAUCCGGAAUUACUGGGCGUAAAGCGCACGCAGGCGGCUGCGUAAGUCUGACGUGAAAUCUCUCGGCUUAACCGGGAGCGGUCGUUGGAAACUAUGCGGCUUGAGGCGAUGAGAGGGGUGUGGAAUUCCCGGUGUAGUGGUGGAAUGCGUAGAUAUCGGGAGGAACGCCAGCGGCGAAGGCGGCACUCUGGGCCGACACUGACGCUGAGGAGCGAAAGCGUGGGGAGCGAACAGG